Molecule: microRNA, 24 nt
Filed under: Ananas comosus (pineapple)
Lineage: Eukaryota; Viridiplantae; Streptophyta; Magnoliopsida; Poales; Bromeliaceae
Description: microRNA s1142_c006b
Source: RNAcentral
CAACAUGCAACCCACAGCAAAGGA